GUGUCAGCAGCCGCGGUAAAACGUAGGACGCGAGCGUUAUCCGGAGUUACUGGGCGUAAAGCGCGGGCAGGCGGUCUGACAAGUCUGAUGUGAAAUCUCCGGGCUUAACCGGGAGAGGCCAUUGGAAACUGACAGGCUGGAGGGCAGUAGAGGUAGGCGGAAUUCCGGGUGGAGUGGUGAAAUGCGUAGAGAUCCGGAGGAACACCAGAGGCGAAGGCGGCCUACUGGGCUGCACCUGACGCUGAGCCGCGAAAGCCAGGGGAGCGAACGGGAUUAGAAACCCCCGUAGUCC
RNAcentral lists this ribosomal RNA (292 nucleotides) under uncultured bacterium. RNAcentral's name for it is "partial 16S ribosomal RNA". It matches the Rfam family "Bacterial small subunit ribosomal RNA", at positions 505 to 796 of the family's 1533-position model. The record is from RNAcentral.